This 11136-nucleotide long non-coding RNA is filed under the name Lactuca sativa (garden lettuce). Its description in RNAcentral is "long non-coding RNA (LSAT_LNC009890)". Lineage: Eukaryota; Viridiplantae; Streptophyta; Magnoliopsida; Asterales; Asteraceae. The record is from RNAcentral.
GGGGUAUGAACUCACCUGCAGUGAGUUGAGCGGAUGAAAAUGCCGGGUAGGAUGCUAGGUGUCAAAUGAGAAUUUGAACACUCAUACUGAUCCUAUAAACAGGUAGUGACACAUAAUGAUGUCUAAUUAGUUAUUUAUUCAUUAAAUAAGUAAGUAAUUACACCCUAAUGCAUGAAAACACUUUUUUUUAAGUGCUAGGAGUGCCAAUGGUUGCAUCUAAGGAGCAUAUGACCUCACUAUGGAGUUUACACCUCAAAUACUCACCUUUGGUGAGUUUACGAUUGAGGGACCCUUUCCCCCAUGAGUUUACGGCCAUAAACUCAUGGAAGAGGUGUAUUUGUGUGCUUUUGCUUCAUGCCNACUAAGGAAGGUUCUAGGGUUGAUUUCGAAGGUUUAGGAAGUGGUUAGGGCAUAAAUUGCCCACUUAUUGGAGUUUACGGUCCUUGGACCCUUUUGGGGAGUUUACUACCGUAAACCCAUGAGUUUACGACAGUAAACUCAUGGUUUGUCCAUCCACUUCAAAUUUUGGGGUUCCUAGAUCAUCCAAGCAAGUUCCUAGUCAAUAAAUCAUGCUAGAUAGGGAGUUGGGUCAUCAAAACACCCUUUUUGGGGUGUUUACGGUUCUUGAAUAGUUCUUGGGAGUUUAAUACCGUAAACACAUGAGUUUAUGACAGUAAACUCAUGGCUACUCCAUCUAUUUAGUGAUUUGGGGUCCUUAGUUCAUUGAUGCAAGUUUCUAAGUGAAGGGCCAAGGCUAAAUAAGAGGUUUAGGCUCAUUUUGCAUCAUUUGAGGGAGUUUACGGCCUAAGAAUGUUCUUGGGCCGUAAACCCUCUUCCAAGCCCCCAAACAUAAUGUUCAAUGUCUAAAACACUUCAAGGGUAAGAUCCAAGUUAGCCUCUAAGCCUAAGGAAGGGAUUUGGGGCAUUUUUGGCACACUUUUAGGGGUUUACGGCCUAAGAGGGUUCUUGGGCCGUAAACUCCUUGUUCUUGGCCUCCAUGGAUGAUUUUCAAGAUAUAUUGACAUGUAAUGAGCUUUAGAACAACCUAGGGUAAGAGAACUUACGGUUUGGAAGCAUAAACUUGCAGAUUUUUGGAAAAACCAGGACUUGAAGAGAGAGAGAGUAGAGAGAGAGUGACUAGAGUGGUAAAAAGUCUAAGUUGGUGACCACUCAACCCUUAUAUAAGGCUUGAGUUGGUGGCCAGGUAGGGAUCCACCCCAUACCGACGUUAAAUGAAAUUUAAAUUUUUACCCGAUUAAAUGGUCGUAACCCGGCUUAGUUGUAACUAAAAAUUUUUCCGAAAUAAAUUUGAGGGUAAUACACGUGUUUUUAUUUAUUUCAUUACGAUACUAAAAUAAAAUAAAUUAUUAGUUGAUUUUUCUAACCCAAAUGUUAACAAUAUUAAAAUAAGGUAUUCUAUUAACGGAAAUGGGAUGCCGUAACAGAAUAAAUUUCGGGUUGUCACAUGAACAAAUCUAAUAUGAGAAAUUGAUGAAUUUAUGUAGGCGUCCUCGGUGCUGACCAGUUCUCGAUAGCUUUAAUCUUGGAUGGGUGCACGUGGAUUCCUUCCUCACUAACCACGUGUCCUAAGAAUUCGACUCUUCGGAUCCAAAAUUCGCACUUAGAGAACUUUGCGUAUAACUUCUCCGAUCGUAGGGUUUCUAGGACUCGUCGUAGAUGAUCGCUAUGUUCUGCCUCACUCCGAGAGUAGACAAGUAUGUCAUCAAUAAAGAUGAUGAUGAACUGAUCUAAGUAAGGACGACACACCCUAUUCAUCAAGUCCAUGAAUAUUGCGGGUGCGUUAGUCAGUCUGAAGGGCAUCACUACGAACUCGUAGUGUCCGUAACGAGUUCGGAAGGCUGUUUUCGGAACAUCCUCCUCAAACACUCGUAACUGGUGGUACCCGGACCUAGGAUCAAUCUUGGAAAAGUAACUUGCCCCUUGCAGUUGGUCGAAUAGGUCGUCUAUACGGGGAAGAUGGUAGCGAUUUUUGACUGUGAGUUUGUUGAGCUCCCUAUAAUCUAUGCACAUACGGAACGAUCUGUCCUUCUUCACGAACAAGACCGGAGCUCCCCAGGGUGAGAAGCUUGGUCUUAUAAAGCCCUUGUUGAGCAGCUCGUUAAGUUGAUUGGACAGUUCUUGCAUCUCCGCAGGCGCUAGACGAUAAGGCGAUUUAGCUACGGGGGUAGCCCCUGGGGUUAGGUCGAUUCUGAACUCAACCUGAAGUUUAGUAGGUAAACCUGGGAGCUCCUCUGGAAAAACGUCGGGGAAAUCGCAUACGACGGGGAAAUCUUUUAGAUCUUUCGUUUUCUGACUUGUGUCGCAACGUGUGCAAGGAAUGCGCGAUAUUCCUUACGCAAGUACUUCUGGGCUUGAAUACUCGAGAUGAUGCGAAGGCUCGUACUGGGUUUGUCUCCAUAGAUUAACAGAGUUUCGUUAUUCGAUAGAUUUAAAUGGAUUGCUUUGUCGAAGCACAGGAUAUCAUAUAAUGGGGACUCAACCAGUCCAUGCCCACAGUGACAUCGAAACUGGUAUGAGGUCGAUUGGGAAGGAAUGAUAAUCUAGCGUGAGGGUGCAACCUAUGUAGAUUUCGUUAGAGCUCUCUGUAUUUCCGUUAGCCAUUUCUACGACGAAUGUUUCUUUUAGUGGUUGUGGGGAUUGCUUAAGUAAGUGUUUAAAGUUUUGGUUUAUGAAGCUUCUUUCUGCACCACUAUCGAAUAAGACACAAGCAUAAAAGUUGUUGAGAAGGAACGUACCCGUGACUACUGUGGGGUCUGCUACUGCUUCAUUGUGGCCAAUGGAAAGUAGUUUCCCCGUUCCUCCUGUACUUCCAGCUUUUGGGCAGUUUUUCAUGAAAUGCCCCACUUCACCACAGCCAUAACAGGCCUGGCUGACUCCCGAACCAGAGACCUGAGAAAUAGGUUUGGGCUGAGAUCUGCAAAACCGGGCGGUAUGGCCCUUCCGGUCACAAUUAGUGCAGUGCAUUUCACGGCAGAGGCCGUUAUGAUGAAAAGGGAACUUUGGGCACUUGGGCAGGUUUCCAACAUAGGUUUUUGUUGGUACAGGGGUAGCAAGAGUAGUGGCAGCAUGGACAACCACUAUCUAUUGGUUUUUGGAAGAGGAUUGAGCUUUCUUAUCCUUCUUUUUGUCCCACCGCUUCCUCUUGUUGUCGGAUGUCUUGGGAUGUGCAGUGGCGGUUGUUGUUGUUGUCGUUGGAGUGGAAGGAGUCUCAUGAUCGAUCAACCUGUGGGCCAAUUCCUUGGCGCUGUCAAAGGUUGCCGGAUUUGAAGAUAUAACGUUUCCUCGAUACGGGGGCACUAAACCCCAAAUGUACCAUUCAAUUUUCUUGCUUUCAAAGGGGAUCAUGUUAGGGCACAUAGCUACCAGGUCGCAGAACCUGGCCGUAUAAGCCACUAUGUCGGUUCCCUUCAUCUUGAGGUUCCAGAGUUCCUCCUCAAGCUUCUGAACCUCACCUCUAGGGCAGUACUCCCUUCUCAGUAGGUCCUUUAGUGUGUCCCAGCCCAUGGCCAUUCCACCACGUCAGGGCCCUUUCAGUGAAAGUGGCAACAACGAACUUUAUUUUGCUUUCUUCGGGGCAUGAGCACAUUUUGAAAACGGCUUCGGUCCUUUCGAUCCAUUGGGAUAGAGCAAGGAUUCCUCCGGUCCCAUUAAAAAAUGUUAGUUUACAGUUCAUGAAAUCCUUAUAAGUACACCCCUGUGUACGUGAGGGAAUUUCACCAUGUGUGGAGUUGGUGCCCAUUCCGGCUCCACUAGCAUCGCCAGAAUUCAUUUGGGCCAUGGUUGCCGUCACAGCUGCGGUCACAGUUGUUUGAAACAGCACUGGAUCGAACUACGGAGGAGGAGGUGGGGUUUGAGUCGCAGGUCUGCCUCUGUUCAGGCGCUUGCGAGGAGGCAUCUUUUACUGAAAGUUCAUAGAGAUGAUGACAAUAGUAAGGGUCUAUUGCAAGUAUGAUAAGAGCGUUUCAUGGACUAAAUCAACAUAGCCCAAAAAUCAGAGAGAGUCAUAGCAACAGAGUAGGUAACUGCCAAUAUUACUGGUAUUAAUGAUGUAAUAUGAGUUCGUGAAAAGUGACCUAACAGUAGUUAUUACAUCAAACCAUAAGGAAAAUGUUGGCAGUCUAAGAGUCUAGGUAAAGUACUUUCAAAGUUAGGAAUGUUUACAGACAAGUGCUCUACCGAGCAUAGAAAAGAAAAGACUAUUCCUUAAACAAAAGAGAGGGAUAAGCUGACAUCUUCUACUAGCGACGGGUAUCCCUUGGGCGAACCCUAAGAUCAUCUAGUUGGCGCACAACUUCUUGAAGAUGUCUUUCAUGUGCUCUUUGACGCGCCCGGAGUUCCCUGACUUCGGCUCGGGAUGCGGCUAGCUGUUGCUGCAGAGCCUCAUUGGUCCUCCUCGUCCUAUCCAUAGCUUCUUCCAGUUGGCGGAUACGAACAGUGUUAAGGUUAGAGUUGACAUCAACUUCCACAACUCGGUCAAUAGCUACUUGACCUUGUUCGACGUUCCUGGCAAUCCUUUGGACCAUGAUGGGCAAGACUCGGUCCGCUGAACAUCCCUCGCUUAUGUUGUAGAAGUUUCGGUCUCCAUUGAAAGGUAAAGGCUGACCCUGUUCAUCGCUCCAUCGGUUCAAGGUUAUUGCCCACAUGGGAGUGGGACCCUGAAAUGUCGGAUGGGGGUUAGGGUUUGGAGCUACUGGGGGCAGGUUGUUGACUUCUGGCUCAGAGUCGGAGUUAUCCGAAAAGCCUUCUGCAUGGUGAUCAUCCAAAGGGAUCGGGUGAUCAUCUUCCGACUCUUCAUCGAGCCAUCCUCCAUUGCCCUGAUUUUGAUAGUAUGGAUCGCCGGGAUGGUGGAAGCCAGCCAUGCUAUCUACGCGAGAAUGGGGUAAGAAAGGUUAAUAGACGUACUAAUCUAGGAUACUUAUAAGAUGAUCGUUACUAGUUGACCCAAUACUUGCAUAGUGCAUACCAAUUACAUGUAACCGAAGCAGGAUAGACCUUCGAAUAAGUGACCCUAACUCUAAGUCCACAAUCAAACAAGAACAGGAAAUGAAGCAAAGGUCACAGAUUCUAAGCCUAUAGCGCCCUAAUCACAUGUAACUGUGGUGUAUCCACUUAGCAAUUAUCGUCCCACUAGUAAUGACCCUUUUUAGUUAUCACAUAUGUAGCUAACGGAAUGCAGAAUACUCCUAUAGUAUUCUUGUUCUGACGUUCUUGUGGUAGUGUUGGUGGUAAGUUUUUAGACUUGUUGCAACAUCACAAUCACUAUUAGGCACAUGCUAGUCACUCCUAAGGAAAUGUAGUUGAUCAGGCUACAUCCACCCAGAUGUAACUAUAUGUCUCUAAGCCCAAUUGUACUGUUCAACAAUCUUAAUACUUUUGUUAUGUUCUAGUAUGAUACUGAUCCUUUGUAAUAAUGGAUGUGCAUAUAUAUACUUACUUAAAUAUUUUAGUAUUUAAAAGUAUAUAUUCUUGGUCAGAGUGUUUUAGUCCCGAAGUGUUUAUAGUUUGUAUAUGUUUUAUGGGUUGAUAUACUUGAUUCACUAUAAACAAUGCUUUGAUACCAAUCUGUCACACCCCAAAAGCAAGAACGGCGGAAUAUGUUCUGGGGUGGAUGAUGUCAUGUACAGUAUCAUAACAAUGCAUAAUAGUAAAAACAAGCAACAACAUCCAUUGCAUAAAUAUAGUAAUUGUAAUACAAGUGUGUUCUGUACAGUUUGUUAGACACCAAAAGUAUAAAAAAAAAAAAAAUAAAGAUGAGCCUUGUAUGCGCUCCGUCUUCUCAAAAACUGCAUCUGUACCUGUCUAUUGUCAGCCUGAGAAUACAAGUUAUUUUGAAAACGAGUAUCAACAUAAAGCUGGUGAGUUCAUAAGAAUUUAGUGUCAUUGCUUGUAUAAAUAUGUUUACAAUCGUAUAACAUGAAAGUUAUUAUUAAGUUUGAAAUUAGUGUGAAUCUCUAGAAAAUCCCAUAUUUUCUAAUAAAAGUAGCCUUUUAGCCAAGACUUGGUUAUUUGUAAGUUUGGUCCAUCUGAGUGUGUAAAAGUUUUCCCGAUUGGGUUCAUAAUUAUAAACAACUAAUUUGAACUCCAUUUAACCAAAGUAAAUGGGAAAAUAAUGUAUUAUUUUUAAUAGUAUGACUGCCGACUGGAUGGUAACUAACAGCAGACUCUAAUUAGCGAUAUGUAUUUAAUACACCAUCGGGGAGUCUACUUUACCUUUAAUUUGUAAUUUGUUAGAUUAGGGUUCCGAAUGUAAAAUACGUGUGUAACCAUGCAGAUAGGCGAUUGAAUGUAAUCAUGACCCUCCAAGUCAUAUGUAGUGUGGUAGCAUGUUAUCAUCCCUGGGCCUAGUCGGCUCGGACUGUAGCUAGCAGUCGGGAUGUCUAUGUAUCCGCCCGAUAUAGAUCUAUACACGUAGACCCCGCUCUCCCUCCAGAAGACUAAGGUUACACGAUGAAGGCGCAGUCAAGUGUCGUAUAUAAAGAUAGUGCCUCACAUUCUGUUUUAGUAUGUUCUCUGGUAUUAGUGCAUAGUGUGCUUCUCGGUAUAAUGUAUUUAGUAUUCUUCUGAUAUAGCAUAUAGUAUUAUUCUUGUAUAGUAUAUAAUAUGUAGCGACUCGUGAUAUCACUAACCGUGGUAAGUAUCAUAGUAAUGGUAGUGAGGAGUGGAAGGCCUUAACUAUACCUUUUAUAGUUAACUGGCAUGUUGUAGUCGUUCUUGGAUAUUCUUAAAUAGUGAAAUAAACAGAGGUAUUCAUAUCCAACACAAAUACAUACAAUAUAUAACUAAGAAUUCAACGACAGUCGGACAGAUAACAAUAUACCCCAAGACCCCAAUCAAACAAGAACAGGUAAUAAGGCUAGCUAUCAGUCCUAAAUCCUUCAAGUCUUACUUAUAUAAUUAUAUUGGUGUGGAUAUAUUUUUAGAAACAUAAGAAGUUUAAAAGAGUUUGAAAAUAAUUUUUGUAGCAAUCUACAUAAAAAUGAGUUUGAUAAUUAAUGAAAACAGUUCUUUGAAGGCAAAACAAUUAAAAGUAUAGAAAUCCCCUUUUGAUUGUAAGUUACAAAUCACAUGUGAUUGAUACUAUAAAUUGAUGGAUUCAACUUGUAUUUAUUCAUUAAAUAAGUAAGUAAUUACACCCUAAUGCAUGAAAACACUUUGUUUUAAGUGCUAGGAGUGCCCAAGGGUUGCAUCUAAGGAGCUUAUGACCUCACUAUGGAGUUUACUCCUCAAAUACUCACCUUAGGUGAGUUUACGGUUGAGGGACCCUUUCCCCCCAUGAGUUUACGGCCGUAAACUCAUGGAAGAGGUGUAUUUGUGUGCUUUUUAGCUUCAUGCCUCACUAAGGAAGGUUCUAGGAUUGAUUUCAAAGGUUUAGGAAGUGGUUAGGGCAUAAAUUGCCCACUUAUUGGAGUUUACGGUCCUUAGAGCCUUUUUAGGGAGUUUACUACCGUAAACCCAUGAGUUUACGGCAGUAAACUCAUGGUUUGUCCAUCCACUUCGAAUUUUGGGGUUCCUAGAUCAUCCAAGCAAGUUCCUAGUCCAUAAAUCAUGCUAGAUAGGGAGUUGGGUCAUCAAAACACCCUUUUUGGGGUGUUUACGGUUCUUGAAUAGUUCUUGGGAGUUUAAUACCGUAAACACAUGAGUUUACGUACUCCAUCCAUUUAGUGAUUUGGGGUCCUUAGUUCAUUUAUGCAAGUUUCUAAGUGAAGGGCCAAUGCUAAAUAAGAGGUUUAGGCUCAUUUUGCAUCAUUUGAGGAAGUUUACGACCUAAGAAUGUUCUUGGGUCGUAAACCCUCUUCCAAGCCCCCAAACAUAAUGUUCAAUGUCUAAAACACUUCAAGCGUAAGAUCCAAGUUAGCCUCUAAGCCUAAGGAAGGGAUUUGGGGCAUUUUUGGCACACUUUUAGGGGUUUACGGCCUAAGAGGGUUCUUGGGCCGUAAACUCCUUGUUCUUGGCCUCCAUGGAUGAUUUUCAAGCUAUAUUGACAUGUAAUGAGCUUUAGAACAACCUAGGGUAAGAGAACUUACGGUUUGGAAGCAGAAACUUGCAAAUUUUUGGAAAAACCAGGACUUGAAGAGAGAGAGAGAGAGAGAGUAGAGAGAGAUAGUGACUAGAGUGGUAAAAAGUCUAAGUUGGUGACCACUCAACCCUUAUAUAAGGCUUGAGUUGGUGGCCAGGUGGGGAUCCACCCCAUACCGACGUUAAAUGAAAUUUAAAUUUUUACCCGAUUAAAUGGUCGUAACCCGGCUUAGUUGUAACUAAAAAUUUUUCCGAAAUAAAUUUGAGGGUAAUACACGUGUUUUUAUUUAUUUCAUUACGAUACUAAAAUAAAAUAAAUUAUUAGUUGAUUUUUCUAACCCAAAUGUUAACAAUAUUAAAAUAAGGUAUUCUAUUAACGGAAAUGGGAUGCCGUAACAGAAUAAAUUUCGGGUUGUCACAUGAACAAAUCUAAUAUGAGAUAUAAACAUGGAAAACUACUAAAUCCAUGCUUGAGGACAAGGGCAGAACCAACCAGUAGCAGCCAGGGGUAGCCCGUGAUACCCCUCAUGUUUGUCCGAGAAGUAUAAAAUUGUUUUGAUGGUAUAGAGGUGCUGAGACAGAUGAAAUGCUACUCACAGAAGUUCUCGGAUAUCCAAACAUUGAUGAAGUUGAAUAAGAAAUACGGGUUCAUGGAAACCUAAAUACUGAUUACACGAUGGGUUACUUGAAGCAUUACGUCCAGAUGUAUUCCUCAAAAACAAUUUGAGAUUACUAGUAAUCGAAACAAUUUUGUAGUUGGCUAUUGCUCCUGCCUUCUUGAAAACCGUUGCUUCUAUAAUUGUUGAUCUAGUAUUCAAAAUUGAGUUUCCAGUAAUCAAAAAUCAAACCUCAUGAUGACACAAUGCACCACUUUGAUACCAAAUCCAUACAAAAUAGAAGAAUUUGAAAUAUUUUAUGGCAAAAAUUGGUUGUAUGAUUGAAUGUUCAAGGAGUUGAAUAAUUACCUAUUACUCUCCCAAGUGAUUUCAAGGUAUAUUUAGGUGUUCUUCAACUUAUUAAUGAAAGCUACCAUUUUGGAGGUAUCUUUGAUAGUCUAACCAGUUGUCUAUUCUUGAAUUUGAUUUCUAAUUUGAUUAUAGUUAUGUUCUAAUUUCCCUACAUUUAUGUGGGUUUUAGUUGCUUAUUAUAGAAUUCAAAGUAAUGAUCGGGUUCUACUUGUUUAAUGUUAUCACUGCCAUCUUCCAUUAACUUGAUUUGAUUUUCGAGUCAAUUUUUUUGUUACUUUUGCUUCAAUUCAAGUUAUCUCAUGGGUUUUGGGAUUCAAAUUUCGCCCAAAAUAAGCCAUAUUAUAUAAUAAUGUUAAACUUAUAUAAGCCUUUGGCAUGUAAACUAUAAAUUGUAAAUCUUGUUACAACCUUACAAGUUUAGCUGCAAACAACUGUAAGGUGAUAUUUAAAGUGGAUAAUAUAAAGUGACAAAACCACAUGCAACUCCUUUUUUAAACUCCGUAUUAUUUAAGGCAUAGUGUUGAAGUUAUUGCUUGCAGAUUCAUGCUUAAAAUGGAGAGCAUAAAGUGAUAAAACCGUCUCUUAAACUACCAAAUUUUGAUUAAAAUCCAUAGCCUAGACAAUUUGUGGUUGGUCUAAGAUGAAAAUUGACCAAAUUGUCUCAUUCCUGCUAAAACUUUUAUAGGUGUAUCAGAUACAUUGUAUGCAUAUACUGUUGAAAAUUGUGUGCUAUCCCUAAUGAAAAUUUUUAGUUUCGCCCCUGCCCGAGGAGCUUGCUUAAGACCAUACAUAGACUUCUACAACAAGAAAACAUGAUGAGGUCUAGAGGGAUUCCGAAAACCUUUAGGCAACUGCAUAUAGAAGAUUUCCUGUAGCUAACCAUGAAGAAAAAUCAUUCUUCACAUCUAAUUUGCGUAUGGGCCACCAGUGCGUGAUAGUAAUCCUUAAAAUCGUGCGUAUAUUGGCCAGUUUAACUACCAAACUUAAAGUCUCGUCACAAUCAAUGCUAGGUAUCUGACUUCGUCCAUCAGCAAUAAAAAGAGCUUUAUAACUAAAGAAAAAGCCAUAUUCAUUUAAUUUCUUCUUAAACAACCAAAUACAAUUAAUAAUGUUAACAAUGGGAGGUCUUAGUACAAGAACCCAAGUUUUGUAUGUGAUAAGAGCAGUAUAUCCUUUUCGCAUUGCUUUAAGCCAGUUAGGAUCAUUAAAAGCCUGCAAAUAAUUUUUAGGGACAUGAGAGGUAGAGUCAAUGUAAAGAUUGAGUUUUCUAAUGGGCUUAAUGAUAUCCAUUUUGGAUCGAGUAAUCAUGGGAUGAUGAGACAGGUUGGAUUUGGCAUCGAAAGACAAGUCAGGAGAGACCUCAAAGGAAGACGAGGUGGGUUUGAUUUAGGACUAGUAGACACAGAUGGGCCUAUUGGGCUUAGAGGUGGACGACUCAAUGUGACUGAGCUAAUGUGAUGAGGUGUUAGGAGAGUUUGUGAAUGGACAAGUAGGAUCAACGAAAUGAGAUGGAGUCUUGAGAGGAGACCCACCAUCAAUAGGUAAGUCGAAAGUAUUAUUAUAUGAGAGAGGAGUGGUGAGAUCAACAUGAUCAAGAAAUAUGUAAGAGGGGGUAACAUUUAGAGUCAUAGAACCAAAAGGAAAGAUUGUUUCAUUAAACAUCAUAUGUCGGGAAAUAAUAAUUUCAUUUGUGUCAAGACUUAGACACUUGUAUCCUUUAUGAUUAGAGUGAUAACCAAGAAACAUACAUGGAUUAGAGCGAGGUGGCAAUUUGUGAGGAGUCACAAUGUUAGGGAAACAAAGUCAUCCACGAACACAUAAAUGAUCAUAGGUUGGUUGAGUUUUUAAUAAUCUAUGAUAAGGUGUGUCAUGAUUUAAAGUGGUGGAUGGAAGUAUAUUUAUAAGAUGAGCAGACAUAUGGAAAGGUUUAACCUAAUAGGUGGGAGGAAGACUAGCAUGGAAAAUAAGAGCACGAAUACCAUUGUUUAGAGUGUGAAUCAUACGUUCGGAUUUUCCGUUUUGCUGAGAGUUAUAAGGAUAAGAAAAAAUGCAUGAUAAUGCAAUUUUGAUCAAACAAUUGGUGAUAUUUACUAUUAUUGUAUUCACCCCCAUUAUCACACUAAAAAGAUUU